Molecule: ribosomal RNA, 396 nt
Filed under: uncultured bacterium
Lineage: Bacteria
Description: partial 16S ribosomal RNA
Rfam family: Bacterial small subunit ribosomal RNA
Source: RNAcentral
CCUACGGGAGGCAGCAGUGAGGAAUAUUGGUCAAUGGGCGCAAGCCUGAACCAGCCAAGUCGCGUGAAGGAUGACUGCGCUAAGGAUUGUAAACUUCUUUUGUCAAGGAAUAAAAUGAGGCACGUGUGCCUUUUUGUGUGUACUUUAUGAAUAAGGAUCGGCUAACUCCGUGCCAGCAGCCGCGGUAAUACGGAGGAUCCGAGCGUUAUCCGGAUUUAUUGGGUUUAAAGGGAGCGUAGAUGGGUUGUUAAGUCAGUUGUGAAAGUUUGGGGCUCAACCGUAAAAUUGCAAUUGAUACUGGCAGUCUUGAGUACAGGUGAGGUAGGCGGAAUGCGUGGUGUAGCGGUGAAAUGCUUAGAUAUCACGAAGAACUCCGAUUGCGAAGGCAGCUUACCA